Molecule: transfer RNA, 89 nt
Filed under: Eubacteriales bacterium
Lineage: Bacteria; Bacillati; Bacillota; Clostridia; Eubacteriales
Description: tRNA-Ser
Rfam family: tRNA
About the family: Transfer RNA (tRNA) molecules are approximately 80 nucleotides in length. Their secondary structure includes four short double-helical elements and three loops (D, anti-codon, and T loops). Further hydrogen bonds mediate the characteristic L-shaped molecular structure. tRNAs have two regions of fundamental functional importance: the anti-codon, which is responsible for specific mRNA codon recognition, and the 3' end, to which the tRNAs corresponding amino acid is attached (by aminoacyl-tRNA synthetases). tRNAs cope with the degeneracy of the genetic code in two manners: having more than one tRNA (with a specific anti-codon) for a particular amino acid; and 'wobble' base-pairing, i.e. permitting non-standard base-pairing at the 3rd anti-codon position.
Source: RNAcentral
GGAGAGAUGGCCGAGUGGUUUAUGGCGCUGGUCUUGAAAACCAGUGAUGUCGAAAGGCACCGGGGGUUCGAAUCCCUCUCUCUCCGCCA